RNAcentral lists this ribosomal RNA (583 nucleotides) under uncultured Zetaproteobacteria bacterium. RNAcentral describes it as "bacterial SSU rRNA". It matches the Rfam family "Bacterial small subunit ribosomal RNA", at positions 44 to 621 of the family's 1533-position model. The record is from RNAcentral. Lineage: Bacteria; Pseudomonadati; Pseudomonadota; Candidatius Mariprofundia.
AUGCCUAACACAUGCAAGUCGAACGGUAACAGGUCUUCGGAUGCUGACGAGUGGCGCACGGGUGAGUAACGCGUGGAUAUCUGCCUAUGAGUGGGGGACAACUUUCGGAAACGAAAGCUAAUACCGCAUAAUCUCUACGGAGCAAAGCAGGGGACCUUUCGGGGCCUUGUGCUUAUAGAUGAGUCCGCGUCAGAUUAGCUAGUUGGUGGGGUAAGAGCCUACCAAGGCGAUGAUCUGUAGCUGGUUUGAGAGGAUGAUCAGUCACACUGGAACUGAGACACGGUCCAGACUCCUACGGGAGGCAGCAGUGGGGAAUUUUGCACAAUGGGGGAAACCCUGAUGCAGCGAUGCCGCGUGUGGGAAGAAGGCCUUUGGGUUGUAAACCACUUUCAAUUGGGAAGAAGGGAUGAGGAUUAAUAAUCCUCUGACUUGACGGUACCUUUAGAAGAAGCACCGGCUAAUUUCGUGCCAGCAGCCGCGGUAAUACGAAAGGUGCAAGCGUUGUUCGGAUUUACUGGGCGUAAAGAGAUCGUAGGGUGGUUUGUUAAGUUGGAUGUGAAAUCCCGGGGCUCAACCCUCGGAA